UACUCACGUCAUACUCACUUUGCGCCUCCUGCCCCCCUCCCCACGUCUCUCUCUCAAACCUCCCUUCUCUCUCUCGCCUCUGCCGGAAACGGCUACUGCCGGUCACGCCGGCGCCGACCAGCCGCCCCUCUCUCCUUCUUCCUUUCUCUUUCCUUCUUUCCCCUGUUCUCACUCUCUCUCUCGGUCUCCUUCUCCACCAGCACCACCGCCGGCUGGAAACCGCCGCUGCUGCCGUCGGGCUGCCGCCGCCGCUGCGCCGGCCGCCGCCGCUGCGGAGAAAUCAAGAGGGGUUGAAAAGACAUUGAAAAAGAGUGUCGUCUUUUGCCGGAUUUCGUCACCACCGUCGGGCUGCCGUCGCCGCCGCUGAGCCGCCGGAGGGCAGAAACUCCAGCCCAUCAGGUUGCAUAGAAAAGAGAAGAUUAUGAUUGCAGCUUUGGAAAAAGGCAAAACACCAAUUUUAAGAGAACCGUUUAAUGCAGAACAGUUUCAAAGCAGGUUAUUACAGAUGUAACCAUUACGAUAGGAAGAAAAAAAGGAAAAAAAAAGUGUUACUGAUGCAGCUGAAGCUAUUCAAGCACUGGGCAACCUGUAUAGGAGUCUGAGAACACUUCCCAAAAAUAGGAAAAAAAAGAAGAAAAGAAAAAAAGGAAAAAAAAUGGAAAAAAGGAAAAAAAGAAAAAAAGGAAAAAAGAAGGUAGAGACGAAUACUCAACUAUGCCUGUGGAGCAUGAAGAUGUUGAGCCAAGAGAAAUGACUUUGGAAGACAUUGAGAACAGAUUAGGAUAAAGACGAUUACUCAACUAAAAUGUGCGGUGUGGAAAGAACGGCUUAAAGGUAUCCAAAAAUUUGAGAAUAUACAGGGUUCCGCUUUUAGUAUUAUUAGCGAAUGAUUGAAGUAAUAUGGAGCUUUUAAAGAAUGCUUCAAAUGGUGUGAGAGGAUAGAGGCUGUCGCUGAACUAACAGAACUUGCACCCGCCAAAAAGAUUACUCCUGGAGAUUUUUCAGAAGUUUAUCGUACAAUAAAGAAGGUUAUCACAGAUGUAAACAUUACGAUAGGAAGAAGGAAAAAAAUAGUUUCUGUUGCAGAAAAGGGCAACCUUUUUAGGGGUCUAAGAACACUUCCCAAAAAAAAGAGGAAAAAAUGGAAAAAAAAGGAAAAAAGAAAAAAAAAGUAGAGAUGAUUACUCAACUAUGCCUGUGGAGCUUGAAGAUGUUGAGCCAGGAAAAAUGAGUUUGGAAGAGAUUGAGAGCAAAUUAGGAUCCCUUAUUCAAACGGAGUCGAUUACUCAACUAAAAUGUGUUGUGUGGAUAGAGCAGCUUAAAGGUAUCCAAAAGUUUGAGAGAUUUACAAGGUUCCGCUUUUGCUAUUAUUAGCGAAUGAGUGAAGCAAUAUGGAGCUCUUAAAGAAUGCUUCAAAUGGUGUGAGAGGAUAGAGGCUGUCGCUGAACUAACAGAACUUGCACCCGCCAAAAAGAUUACUCCUGGAGAUUUUUCAGAAGUUUAUCGUACAAUAAAGAAGGUUAUCACAGAUGUAAACAUUACGAUAGGAAGAAGGAAAAAAAUAGUUUCUGUUGCAGAAAAGGGCAACCUUUUUAGGGGUCUAAGAACACUUCCCAAAAAAAAGAGGAAAAAAUGGAAAAAAAAGGAAAAAAGAAAAAAAAAGUAGAGAUGAUUACUCAACUAUGCCUGUGGAGCUUGAAGAUGUUGAGCCAGGAAAAAUGAGUUUGGAAGAGAUUGAGAGCAAAUUAGGAUCCCUUAUUCAAACGGAGUCGAUUACUCAACUAAAAUGUGUUGUGUGGAUAGAGCAGCUUAAAGGUAUCCAAAAGUUUGAGAGAUUUACAAGGUUCCGCUUUUGCUAUUAUUAGCGAAUGAGUGAAGCAAUAUGGAGCUCUUAAAGAAAGGUUCAAAUUGUGCGAGAGGAAAGAAGCUGUCGCUGAACUAACAAAGCUUGCAUCCACCAAAAAGAUUACUGCUGGAGAUUUUUCAGAAGUUUGUCGAACAAUUAAGAAGGUUAUAUCACAGAUGUAAACAUUACGAUAGGAACAAAACAAGGGAAAAAAAGCUAUAUAAUGCUGCAGUAUACAUGUUGUCUUUGGUUUUUUAAUUUUCUUGGUAUCCAAAAAAUUGAGAGAUUUACAAGGUUCCGCUUUUGCUAUUAUUAGCGAAUGAGUGAAGCAAUAUGGAGCUUUUCAAGAAAGGUUCAAAUGGUGUGAGAGGAAAGAAGUUGUCGCUGAACUAACAAAGCUUGCAUCCACCAAAAAGAUUACCCCUGGUGAUUUUUCAGAAGUUUGUCGAACAAUUAAGAAGGUUAUAUCACAGAUGUAAACAUUACGAUAGGAUGAAAAAAAGGAAAAAAAACGUUCCUGUUGCAGUUGAAGCUAUUCAAGCUCUGGGCAACCUGUAUAGGAGUCUGAGAACACUUCCCAAAAAAAGGAAAAAAGGAAAAAAAGAGAAGAAAAGAAAAAAAGGAAAAAAAGGAAAAAAAUGGAAAAAAAGAAAAAUGGAAAAAAAAAGAAAAAAAAGGAAAAAAAGGAGAAAAAAGAAAAAAAGGAGAAGACUAUUACUCGACUAUGCCUGUGGAUCUUGAAGAUGUUGAGGUAUCCAAAAAUUUGAGAGAUUUACAAGGUUCCACUUUUGCUAUUAUUAGCGAAUGAGUGAAGCAAUAUGGAGCUUUUCAAGAAAGUUUCAAAUGGUGUGAGAGGAAAGAGGCUGUCGCUGAACUAACAGAGCGUGCAUCCACCAAAAAGAUUACUCCUUGAGAUUUUUCAGAAGUUUGUCGAACAAUUAAGAAGGUUAUAUCACAGAUGUAAACAUUACGAAAGGAAGAAAAAAAGGAAAAAAAAAGCGUUGCUGUUGCAGCUGAAGCUAUUCAAGCUCUGGGCAACCUGUAUAAGAGUCUGAGAACACUUCCCAAAAAAAGGAAAAAAAAGGAAAAAAGAGAGAAAGAAAAAAAGGAAAAAAAAGGAAAAAAAGAAAAAAGGAAAAAAGGAAAAAAUGGAGAAAAAAGAAAAAAGGAGAAGAAGAUUAUUACUUGACUAUGCCUGUGGAGCUUGAAGAUGUUGAGCCAAGAGAAAUGAGUUUUGAAGAAAUUGAGAGCAGAUUCGGAUCCCUUAUUCAAGUAGAGACAUUACUCAACUAAGAUCUGCUGUGUGGAAAGAGCGGCUUAAAGGUAUCCAAAAAUUUGAGAGAUUUACAAGGUUCCACUUUUGCUAUUAUUAGCGAAUGAGUGAAGCAAUAUGGAGCUUUUCAAGAAAGGUUCAAAUGGUGUGAGAGGAAAGAAGUUGUCGCUGAACUAACAAAGCUUGCAUCCACCAAAAAGAUUACCCCUGGUGAUUUUUCAGAAGUUUGUUGAACAAUUAAGAAGGUUAUAUCACAGAUGUAAACAUUACGAUAGGAUGAAAAAAAGGAAAAAAAACGUUCCUGUUGCAGUUGAAGCUAUUCAAGCUCUGGGCAACCUGUAUAGGAGUCUGAGAACACUUCCCAAAAAAAGGAAAAAAGGAAAAAAAGAGAAGAAAAGAAAAAAAGGAAAAAAAGGAAAAAAAUGGAAAAAAAGAAAAAUGGAAAAAAAAGAAAAAAAAGGAAAAAAGGAGAAAAAAGAAAAAAAGGAGAAGACUAUUACUCGACUAUGCCUGUGGAUCUUGAAGAUGUUGAGGUAUCCAAAAAUUUGAGAGAUUUACAAGGUUCCACUUUUGCUAUUAUUAGUGAAUGAGUGAAGCAAUAUGGAGCCUUUCAAGAAAGUUUCAAAUGGUGUGAGAGGAAAGAGGCUGUCGCUGAACUAACAGAGCGUGCAUCCACCAAAAAGAUUACUCCUUGAGAUUUUUCAGAAGUUUGUCGAACAAUUAAGAAGGUUAUAUCACAGAUGUAAACAUUACGAAAGGAAGAAAAAAAGGAAAAAAAAAGCGUUGCUGUUGCAGCUGAAGCUAUUCAAGCUCUGGGCAACCUGUAUAAGAGUCUGAGAACACUUCCCAAAAAAAGGAAAAAAAAGGAAAAAAGAGAGAAAGAAAAAAAGGAAAAAAAAGGAAAAAAAGAAAAAAGGAAAAAAGGAAAAAAAAGGAAAAAAUGGAGAAAAAAGAAAAAAGGAGAAGAAGAUUAUUACUUGACUAUGCCUGUGGAGCUUGAAGAUGUUGAGCCAAGAGAAAUGAGUUUUGAAGAAAUUGAGAGCAGAUUCGGAUCCCUUAUUCAAGUAGAGACAUUACUCAACUAAGAUCUGCUGUGUGGAAAGAGCGGCUUAAAGGUAUCCAAAAAUUUGAGAGAUUUACAAGGUUCCACUUUUGCUAUUAUUAGCGAAUGAGUGAAGCAAUAUGGAGCUUUUCAAGAAAGUUUCAAAUGGUGUGAGAGAAAGAGGCUGUCGCUGAACUAACAGAGCGUGCAUCCACCAAAAAGAUUACUCCUUGAGAUUUUUCAGAAGUUUGUCGAACAAUUAAGAAGGUUAUAUCACAGAUGUAAACAUUACGAUAGGAAGAAAAAAAAGGAAAAAAAAAGCGUUGCUGUUGCAGCUGAAGCUAUUCAAGCUCUGGGCAACCUGUAUAAGAGUCUGAGAACACUUCCCAAAAAAAGGAAAAAAAAUGAAAAAAGAGAGAAAGAAAAAAGGAAAAAAAUGGGAAAAAAAGAAAAAAAGGAAAAAAAAGGAAAAAAAAGGAAAAAAUGGAGAAAAAAGAAAAAAGGAGAAGACUAUUACUUGACUAUGCGUGUGGAGCUUGAAGAUGUUGAGCCAAGAGAAAUGAGUUUGGAAGAAAUUGAGAGCAGAUUCGGAUCCCUUAUUCAAGUAGAGACAUUACUCAACUAGGAUCUGCUGUGUGGAAAGAUCGGCUUAAAGCUGUUGUGUCUUUUAAAGAGUAGGUUGAAUCACAAACUGAUUUGGAUCCAUCUGUUGAGAGGUCGAUCCAUUUACUUUGUGUUAUUCCCAGCUGGAAUGAGAAAAAUGUUCAGGUGAGAAAAUCUUCAAAUGAUGUAAGAGGAAAGAGGCUGCUGCUGAACUAACAGAACUUGCAUCCACCAAAAAGAUUGCUCUUGGAGAUUUUUUAGAAGUUUAUCGAACAAUAAAGGUUACUAUAAGAAAAAAAGAAAAAAAGGGAAAAAGGGAAAAAAAAAGAAAAAAAGGAAAAAAAGGAAAAAGGGGAAAAAAGGAAAAAAAAGGAAAAAUAAAAGAAAAAAGAAGUAGAGACGAUUACUCAACUAUGCCUGUGGAGGAUGAAGAUGUUGAGCCAAGAGAAAUCAGUUUGGAAGAGAUUGAGAGCAGAUUAGGAAUUCAAGUAGAGACGAUUACUCAACUAACAGAACUUGCAUCCUCCAAAAAGAUUGCUCUUGGAGAUUCUUCAUAAGUUUGUCGAACAAUAAAGAAGGUUAUAACACAGAUGUAAACCGUUGCUGUUGCAGCUGAAGCUAUUCAAGCACUGGGCAACCUUUAUAGGGGUCUGAAACACUUCCCAAGAAAAAAAAAAGCGUUGUUGCAGCUGAACCUGUAUAGAAGUCUGAGAACACUUCCCAAAAAAAGAAAAUAAAAGGAAAAAAAAAGAAAAGAAAAAAGGGGAAAAAGUAAAAAAAUGGAAAAAAGAAAAAAGGAAUAAAAAAGAAAAAAAGGAAAAAAAGAGAAAAAAGUAGAGAUUAUCACUCAACUAUGCCUGUGGAGCUUGAAGAUGUUGAGCCAAGAGAAAUGAGUUUGGAAGAGAUUGAGAGCAGAUUAGGAUCUCUUAUUCAAGUAGAGACGAUUACUCAACUAAAAUGUGCGGUGUGGAAAGAGCGGCUUAAAGGGUACUUGAAUUUCUUCAAGAGCUUCUGGAUCUGUUGAGAUAUGAGGGGCUACACUAUCAGAAGUCUGGACAUAACAUUGAAAAGUUCGAGAAAAAAUGCAUGAACUGAUGAACCAAGUCAUCCAAACAUAUUCUGCUGCAACGACUAUUCCUUACAUUUUACAGGGUUUGCGAUCUAGGAACAACAGAACGAGGACCGAGUCCGCUGACCAUGUUGGAGUCUUAUUAGAUAACUAUGGAGCUGAGAGGAUUAUGGAAUUGGAAUACAUCAUUCGCCGUAAGGAUAAUCAACAUACUCAUGCUUAGUGGAAAGAAGCCUAUUGCUGCAGAGCCAGCUGCCACUAAGAAAGCCAUGUCUGGAAAAUCUGGUACCAACAAAAAGGGUGAUGGAGGAUGACAAACAGCAAAAAUUUCUAAACCUAUGGAGCGUGAAGAUGUCGAGCCAACAGAAAUGAGUUUAUAGAGUUUUAGAGCAGAUUAGGAUCCUUUAUCCAAGCAGAGACAAUUACCCAACUAAAAAGUGUUGUGUGGAAAGAGCGGCUUGAAGAAUGAUGUCAUGAAAUACUUUCGAGAGGGUCUUCAUCGGAGGCUCUUAAGUGCUGACUUCAAAGAUCAAGUUGAUGGCAUUGAGAUGUUGCAGAAGGUUCUUUCAACAUAAAUUCUAGUUUCUGUUCUGUAACUUGAAAUUUUCUUUUAACCUUCGAUUAGUUUUUUUAUGUCAGCAUGCCGUGUGCUUAGCUAUCUGAAUUUAUCCAAUGAUAUUAUGAAAAAGAAAUGAGAGGUAUCAUAUUUGUUGAGUAUUCUCAAGACACUUGUUAUUAGAACAUUUGUUUAUUCAGUUUGUUUGUGGAAUUGCUAAAAUUACAAAUUGUUAUUGAUUUUCCCAUAUCGAGCUCUCUAAUGAUGUUACAACUAGUGCAUAUUUAAACUAUCUCUCUUGACCUUCUGUAAUUUUGAAAAAGUACUUGAAAUUAUUCCCGAGCUUCUGGAUAUGUUGAGAAAUGAGGGUUACACUAUGACAGAAGUAGAGGAAACCAUCUUUCUUCCUGGCUUGGUUGAGAAGGUCUAAUCCAGCUGAACAAAGUGGGGACUUAUCAAGACCCGUUGGCAUCCCAACAUUCAAUCAUUAGACUACCAAUGCCGCAGGCUUAGUCUGCUGUUGGGCUAAAAUCAUAGAAUAUGGUUCUCCUGAACAGGGUAGGGGGUAAAGAUGAGGAAUAUUUUUCAAUGGAAUGCUUUUUCAGAAGAUUAGGCUGAUGAAGGCAUGAAAGCUAACAGAUAUGAGUUUGGAAGAGAUUUGGAGCAGAUUAGGAUCCCUUAUUGAUUCAGAGACGAUUACUCAACUAAAAAGUGUUGUGUGGAAAGAGCGGCUUGAAGGUGAUGAUAUUUGGAUAUAUGUCAGGAAGCUCCGAGGGAGAACUAUGGCGUUUCUGAAAUCCACACAGAUAGACUACCAAUGCCGCAGACUUAGUCUGGUGUUGGGCUCACAGACUGGAAUGAAGCUUUAAAAAUCAUAGAAUAUGGUUCUCCUGAACAGGGUAGGGGGUAAUGAUGAGGAAUAUUUUUCAAUGGAAUGCUUUUCGGAAGAUUAGGCUGAUGAAGGCAUGAAAGCUAACAGAUAUGAGUUUGGAAGAGAUUUGGAGCAGAUUAGGAUCCCUUAUUGAUUCAGAGACGAUUACUCAACUAAAAAGUGUUGUGUGGAAAGAGCAGCUUGAAGGGAGAACUAUGGCGUUUCUGAAAUCCACACAGAUAGACUACCAAUGCCGCAGACUUAGUCUGGUGUUGGGCUCACAGACUGGAAUGAAGCUUUAAAAAUCAUAGAAUAUGGUUCUCCUGAACAGGGUAGGGGGUAAUGAUGAGGAAUAUUUUUCAAUGGAAUGCUUUUCGGAAGAUUAGGCUGAUGAAGGCAUGAAAGCUAACAGAUAUGAGUUUGGAAGAGAUUUGGAGCAGAUUAGGAUCCCUUAUUGAUUCAGAGACGAUUACUCAACUAAAAAGUGUUGUGUGGAAAGAGCAGCUUGAAGGGAGAACUAUGGCGUUUCUGAAAUCCACACAGAUAGACUACCAAUGCCGCAGACUUAGUCUGGUGUUGGGCUCACAGACUGGAAUGAAGCUUUAAAAAUCAUAGAAUAUGGUUCUCCUGAACAGGGUAGGGGGUAAUGAUGAGGAAUAUUUUUCAAUGGAAUGCUUUUCGGAAGAUUAGGCUGUUGAAGGGAUGAAAGGUGUGCUAUGAAUUGCAAAUGCUGAUCCCAAGAGAUGUUUAGGUGCUGCAUCUAGAAAUCUAAAUUUUUUACAUAACUUCUUUGUUGUUACCGACUACUUGGACUACUGAACUUAACGUAAGAAUGGUCUGUUGAGAAGGUCCUGCAACAAGUUAUUUAUAUUGUCACCCAUAUUGCUGCGACAGCAUCAAAGUCUCCUAAA
Long non-coding RNA from Salvia splendens (bonfire salvia), 8171 nucleotides. RefSeq lists it as uncharacterized. The transcript is spliced from 58 exons. The record is from RefSeq and is a predicted model, not a curated record. NCBI's taxonomy places the organism in Eukaryota, Viridiplantae, Streptophyta, Magnoliopsida, Lamiales, Lamiaceae.